CGGAAUGUGUAAUGUAGCGGUGAAAUGCUUAGAUAUUACACAGAACACCAAUUGCGUAGGCAGCUUACUGAGCCGACACUGACGCUGAGGCACGAAAGCGUGGGGAUCGAACAGGAUUAGAUACCCUGGUAGUCCACGCCGUAAACGAUGAUUACUCGCUGUUGGCGAUACACUGUCAGCGGCUAAGCAAAAGCAAUAAGUAAUCCACCCGGGGAGUACGGCCGCAAGGUUGAAACUCAAAGGAAUUGACGGGGGCCCGCACAAGCGGAGGAACAUGUGGUUUAAUUCGAUGAUACGCGAGGAACCUUACCUGGGCUUAAAUGUAGAGUGCAUUUUCUAGAGAUAGGAAUUCCCUUCGGGGCUUUCUGCAAGGUGCUGCAUGGUUGUCGUCAGCUCGUGCCGUGAGGUGUCGGGUUAAGUCCCAUAACGAGCGCAACCCUUAUCGUUAGUUGCCAUCUGGUAAAGCAGGGGACUCUAGCGAAACUGCCACCGUAAGGUGAGAGGAAGGUGGGGAUGACGUCAAAUCAGCACGGCCCUUAUGUCCAGGGCUACACACGUGUUACAAUGGUCGGUACAGAGGGCAGCUACCUGGUGACAGGAUGCUAAUCUCGAAAACCGGUCUCAGUUCGGAUCGAAGUCUGCAACUCGACUUCGUGAAGCUGGAUUCGCUAGUAAUCGCGCAUCAGCCAUGGCGCGGUGAAUACGUUCCCGGGCCUUGUACACACCGCCCGU
RNAcentral lists this ribosomal RNA (732 nucleotides) under uncultured bacterium. Its description in RNAcentral is "bacterial SSU rRNA". It matches the Rfam family "Bacterial small subunit ribosomal RNA", at positions 662 to 1397 of the family's 1533-position model. The record is from RNAcentral.